AGACAGAAUUGCAGGUGUAGAUUAUUUUUGGUUUUAACCACAGAUAAAAGUUUGAGCUCAGUCAAGUGCUUAGAGUGCAAGAGUUUAUAAACAGUAGGCCUACUCUGCCACCAGCAGUUGGUUUCAGUUGGACAUUCUGUUGCUAGUAGAAACUGCUGCCACCACAAUUCUAUAGCAGUUGCUGCUUAACUGACAUCUUACAUCCACCAUUUUGUCAGAUCUGUGUCCAGGCAAAUAUCCACAGACAUCGUUUACUAUUCCCCAAAUGCCCUUGUUGGAGCAUUAUCUUUUUACUCCUCAUUUGUCACUCUGAAGGAUUCAUCGUUGUCCACAGUGUUUCACGCAGCCAAUGGGAGAUCCACAUGCAGUUGGGCUGAUGGGUGACAGAUCUGGAUGGGACUUGUCUGUGGUACCAGUCUCCAUGAAUAUCAGGCCAUGGUGGGGACACGCUUCCUGAUCAGGGUCCGUGCUAUGCUUAGCUGCUUCAACCAAGGCUUCUCUGUGAAGGUGGCUCUGGACUGUCAAUCUGUGGCCCAGGAGGCAACCCUGGAGGAACUCCACCCACCCAUCCCACGUGUCCAAACGGAGAGUAGUGCCUUUGUUAAUUUCAAAAUAGAUGUUUUCUGUUUUAACUUCAAUUUUGUCUGUGCAUGGCUUUUGAGACAGAGAGAUUGUAACGUGCAAUAUGGCAACUUUUUUCUUUGUUCAUGUGAAAGUGCAGAUCUCUUGCAUCUUGUUCUUAGAAACAGUUGACAUGAAAAGUAAUCUGUAGGUUAAAAUAACUGAUUUUGUUUAUCAUAUUGAAGCUUUUAGGUUUAUACCUUGUCGACACUGGCCGUGUUGAAUGCUAACAAUAUAGCUCUCUGUAUCUAAUACCCAGUUCAUACCAACUGCCAUUCAGCACACAUUAGAGACAUUAUACAAUUUAAAGUAGUUCAUUUAGAAGCCAAUAGCAAACAUGAUAUCUAACCUUUCACUGAAUUAAUGAAAAUGUUGCUAGACUAUUCACACAUUUUUAAAUAAUUAGCUACAUAGCACUCAUUAUGAAGCUACACACAUCAAUCAUAUAGCAGCACAGACAGAAAGUAGGCCAUACCCACUUCAAUGGCAUAGUCUUGCAGUUGGUUGCAGUCAUAGAGUUGCACACCAGUAAGUGUGCUCAGUCUGAAGGUGCUGACAGGCAGGCCGCUUUGCAUGGACACCACAGUUUUCAGUCUAGCAACGGACAUAUGCAGAAGAGCCUCGCUUCCCAUGAUUGGUAAGGUUUCUCCUGUCACAGCAUUGAACACACGCAUCACAGGCCUUUGUUCACUCUGAAAAAUAAUUACAAUGGCCUUGCAGUUAAAGAGUAACUAAAGUCACAAGAUGAAUCCCUGUGUUUAUCUAAAAAAUAUCACAUACCGCUGAAGUUGCGUUGACCUGAAAACCAAACCCAUGUCAAAGGUACAUGAGUCAUUUUCACGUUUUUUAGUUAAUUCAAUUGUAUUUUAUUUGCAGCUAUUGUGAUUGGAUGAAGGGCAUUCCAUGACCACCAUGUACCAACCAUUACCUCACAACACAAGAGUGACAGAAUCUCACAAAAAAGAAGUCUGUUGUAGGUUGGAACGUUGAAGGCAUUGGAUGGCACUGCCACUUGUGAUGCCCACGUCGCAUAGAGCCCAGCUGUCCUGCAGCGCUGCACCACCGUAGCUCAGCUCCAGGUACUGCCGGACCUGCUUGUCAUCGGAGAGUUGCACAAGAAAGUUAUCCUACAGAGAGGGACAGAGUGGAAAUUUAUGGAGUUGUAAUAGAGUUCUGACAAAGAAAUAAAGUUCUUAAUAGACCAUG
This is a long non-coding RNA of Siniperca chuatsi (mandarin fish), 1827 nucleotides long. RefSeq lists it as uncharacterized. The record is from RefSeq and is a predicted model, not a curated record. The transcript is spliced from 5 exons. NCBI's taxonomy places the organism in Eukaryota, Metazoa, Chordata, Actinopteri, Centrarchiformes, Sinipercidae.